Molecule: long non-coding RNA, 603 nt
Organism: Homo sapiens (human)
Lineage: Eukaryota; Metazoa; Chordata; Mammalia; Primates; Hominidae
Source: Ensembl
GUCGCUCACGCUGGGAGCUGUAGACCGGAGCUGUUCCUAUUCGGCCAUCUUGGCUCCUCCCUCAGUUCUGGAGACUGGGACAUCCAAGGUCAAUGUGCUGGCAGAUUCAAUGUCUGGAUUGGCAAACACAAAUCAUGUUCCAAGUUCUGCCUUCCACCUGAGUGAAAUACAUCACCGCUUUCCCUGCUCCCGCCGCCAUUAAAAUUGUGUUUGGCAUCUGACCACCAAGAUACAGAUAUUUCCUAGACUGUUUUGCAGCUAGGUACUUAGGUAAGUACUGCCCUGAGAUUGAAUUUAAACCAACGUAUGUAAGCAUAAAUAUUGUGUCCAAAUUGUGUACAACUUCUUGGUCAUCCCUUUAAAACUAAACCUGUUUUCCCAGCACUGCCUCUUUUUCCAUUCUGCAGAUAGUAAUGAAGAUAGGGGCCACCAUUCCCUGUGAAAAUCAAGUGGGAAAGUCCUGAGUCCUUUAAUGACUUUACAGAGGACAGAAUAAACUCCUAUCAUAUUCAUGCAAUUGUGCCUAUGGGUCUCCUGUCUUGUUGUUAGAAUGGAUUUAUUUGAACACUAACGAAUAUUGAUAAGUAUAAAAGAAAAAUAAAA